CUUUCUUCAGAACUCACGGAUGCGUUAAUAGAGCCUAACCAAAGGGAUCCCAGGAUUCUAGCCAUAUCUGCCACAUCUUCCUGGAGCUGGAAAAGUCAGAAUGUGCCUUUGACUUGCUCUCCUUUUUAAAGAAAACCACGUGUUUAUUCUCUUAUGCCAAAGUUACGACAGAGCUGAAGUUUUGCCAGUGUUGACUUUAAAAGCUGGGCUGAGGGGUUAAAAUCCUUUUCCCUGAUGCCUGUUUGUUUAUAUUUCCCGAGAAAAUGAAGGCGGUUGUCGUAAGAAGCGAUCUGGUCUACGGAGCUGUACCUGCAGCAAGGGCAGUGCUGCAGGGUGCCAGAAGAACCUCUGCUAUCAGCACCUGGAGUCAGAACAGCUCCCUGAAAGUCACCCUUAUCCCAGGAUGAGGGUGAAGAUCUGGAGAUGGCGCUCCCCUACUGCCUGCUCAGCCUCGCUCUGGGUAACCAACUCACUGCCCAGGCCAUGAACCUGCAGGAUGCUGCAGCUAAACUAUGCAUGAAACUUUGGUUGCAUUCUAGUGGUACCCAGUUCCAGCCACAACAGAAACUGACUAGAUAAAUAGGGAAUACUUAGCAGAAGUUAAAAUGAUGUAAUAAAGUAAGAUUUAUUAUCAUGGAAA
This is a long non-coding RNA of Phacochoerus africanus (Common warthog), 640 nucleotides long. RefSeq lists it as uncharacterized. The transcript has 2 exons. The record is from RefSeq and is a predicted model, not a curated record. NCBI's taxonomy places the organism in Eukaryota, Metazoa, Chordata, Mammalia, Artiodactyla, Suidae.